RNAcentral lists this ribosomal RNA (923 nucleotides) under uncultured bacterium. Its description in RNAcentral is "bacterial SSU rRNA". It matches the Rfam family "Bacterial small subunit ribosomal RNA", at positions 8 to 916 of the family's 1533-position model. The record is from RNAcentral.
AGAGUUUGAUCAUGGCUCAGGACGAACGCUGGCGGCGUGCUUAACACAUGCAAGUCAACGAGAAAAGAGGUAGCGAUACUUCUGAGUAAAGUGGCGCACGGGUGAGUAAUAUGUAAGUAAUCUACCCAUAGAUUUGGAAUAACGCAGAGAAAUUUGCGCUAAUACCGAAUAAUGCAGCGGCAUCGCAUGAUGAUGUUGUUAAAGUUGCAGCAAUGUAACGGCUAUGGAUGAGCUUGCAUCUGAUUAGCUAGUUGGUGAGGUAAAGGCUCACCAAGGCAACGAUCAGUAGCUGGUCUGAGAGGAUGAUCAGCCACACUGGAACUGAGACACGGUCCAGACUCCUACGGGAGGCAGCAGUGAGGAAUAUUGGGCAAUGCCCGCAAGGGUGACCCAGCAACGCCGCGUGGAGGAUGAAUGCCGUAAGGUUGUAAACUCCUGUGAGAAGGGAAGAAAACUUGGAUUUCGUAAGGGAUCCAACUUGACUGUACCUUCAGAGGAAACCCCGGCUAACUACGUGCCAGCAGCCGCGGUAAUACGUAGGGGGUUAGCGUUGUCCGGAUUUACUGGGUGUAAAGGGCGCGUAGGCGGGUUUGUAAGUCAGUGGUGAAAUCCUGCAGCUUAACUGCAGAACUGCCUUUGAUACUGCAAAUCUUGAGUUCAGAAGAGAGAGAUGGAAUUCCAGGUGUAGUGGUGAAAUACGUAGAUAUCUGGAAGAACACCAGUGGCGAAGGCGAUCUCUUGGUCUGUAACUGACGCUGAGGCGCGAAAGCGUGGGUAGCAAACAGGAUUAGAUACCCUGGUAGUCCACGCUGUAAACGAUGAAUACUAGAUGUUGGGUAGAAAUGCUCAGUGUCGCAGCUAACGCAUUAAGUAUUCCACCUGGGGAGUACGAUCGCAAGGUUGAAACUCAAAUGAAUUGACGG